This 681-nucleotide ribosomal RNA is filed under the name uncultured nitrite-oxidizing bacterium. RNAcentral's name for it is "bacterial SSU rRNA". It matches the Rfam family "Bacterial small subunit ribosomal RNA", at positions 21 to 696 of the family's 1533-position model. The record is from RNAcentral.
GGCUCAGAUCGAACGCUGGCGGCGCGCCUAAUACAUGCAAGUCGAGCGAGAAGACGUAGCAAUACGUUUGUAAAGCGGCGAACGGGUGAGGAAUACAUGGGUAACCUACCCUCGAGUGGGGAAUAACUAGCCGAAAGGUUAGCUAAUACCGCGUACGCUUCUUGGACUUCGGUUCAGGGAGGAAAGCGCUACCGAGGGUAGCGCGCUCUUGGAUGGGCUCAUGUCCUAUCAGCUUGUUGGUGAGGUAAUGGCUCACCAAGGCUUUGACGGGUAGCUGGUCUGAGAGGACGAUCAGCCACACUGGCACUGCGACACGGGCCAGACUCCUACGGGAGGCAGCAGUAAGGAAUAUUGCGCAAUGGGCGAAAGCCUGACGCAGCGACGCCGCGUGGGGGAUGAAGGUCUUCGGAUUGUAAACCCCUUUCGGGAGGGAAGAUGGAGCGAGCAAUCGUUCGGACGGUACCUCCAGAAGCAGCCACGGCCAACUUCGUGCCAGCAGCCGCGGUAAUACGAAGGUGGCAAGCGUUGUUCGGAUUCACUGGGCGUACAGGGUGUGUAGGCGGUUUGGUAAGCCUUCUGUUAAAGCUUCGGGCCCAACCCGGAAAGCGCAGAGGGUACUGCCAGGCUAGAGGGUGGGAGAGGAGCGCGGAAUUCCCGGUGUAGCGGUGAAAUGCGUAGAGA